Molecule: long non-coding RNA, 1007 nt
Filed under: Calidris pugnax (ruff)
Lineage: Eukaryota; Metazoa; Chordata; Aves; Charadriiformes; Scolopacidae
Description: lncRNA (ENSCPUG00000014774.1)
Source: RNAcentral
CUGCCCUGAAGUCCUGAAGGGAUCAGGUGAAGAUGGCGAAGGAGUGGUGGAGGGGGGGGCUUGGUGUUAACCUUACAGUAUUUCUUUCCAUUCCAAUAGUUUCCUGGAGGAUCCAUAUCUGUCCAAUGAAAGACUUCAGACAGAAGAAACAAUGACCCUAGAGUUUGUUGCUGUAAUGUCAAAAAAAUCCAGAUAUUCUGAAAAGUCAGACAAGAUCUUUAUUGCUUUUUACAAGCAACCUGGAAAAUACCAGAAGUUUGGUGCUCUGAAAAGAAGCUCUAAGAACAACUGUAUUGUGGGCAGUGCAACGAUCCCCAUUUCUGACCUACAGAGAGGACCAAUUUUUUAUAAAUAUGCUAUCUGUAGCAAUAUGCUCUCAAAUGACUAUGAAAAGAGAUCAUAUGAUUUAGAGCAUAUUUAUGGAACAGACUCCAAAAAUAUAGAGAGUCAAUUACACCGAGUCAUAAACAUUCCCAAGGAAGACAUCAAAGCAGGUGGAACAUGGACCAUUUUUGAACACACGAAGUGCCAUUUUCCUGAAAAAGAUAAUCACUGGAAAUACUUGCGUUUCUUCAAACGUCCUUCAAAAACAAUGCCCCAAAAGUCAGUCAACUGUGGUAUCAUAGAAUACCUUGCAGAUGAAUUUCUCUGCACCAUCAGGCUCCAGAAGGGCUUUAAGAAUAUAGAAAGGAAACUGGAGAUCUACACGAAGAGCUUCAAAAUCUAUCUCGGGGAUGCUGCAAAAGGCGAACCCUUUUCUCCAACUAAUCUCACUGAGCAAGUGUUGAACUGUAACAUGAUAAAUUUUAUCGACACGAUCAUUGGAUACCUGGAGAAAGAGGAGCACAAGGAUGAAGGGCUGCUUUUUGCCUUAUACACCUCAUCUUGUUAUAAUGUCCCACUAAGUAAAGAUGUAAUCAUCAAGGCUGAAAAACUCUUCCAGAACAUCGGCCCCUUUCAAGGCAAAUUCCAGCAUCUGAGAGGACAGAGGUAAUUAAAAUUGUCAC